UGUCAUCACAGAGAUUUUGGCGUUGCUGC
RNAcentral lists this non-coding RNA (29 nucleotides) under Rattus norvegicus (Norway rat). Lineage: Eukaryota; Metazoa; Chordata; Mammalia; Rodentia; Muridae. The record is from RNAcentral.